Cyprinus carpio (common carp) is the source of this 498-nucleotide long non-coding RNA. RefSeq lists it as uncharacterized. NCBI's taxonomy places the organism in Eukaryota, Metazoa, Chordata, Actinopteri, Cypriniformes, Cyprinidae. The transcript has 3 exons. The record is from RefSeq and is a predicted model, not a curated record.
AAACACAUAAGUCUGUUCCAAAGUUUUUCUUGUUUUAGUUCUGUUGGAAGUGUCUGUUCUUGGCUGUUUCUCCAGAUCUGAAUCUGUUCUGACUUUUGGUUUCUCUGUCUGUAGCGAGGCCGGUCGAGAGAUGUAGACUGUCACUGCCAGAUGCACAGAGUGCUCAGCCAGAGACCUCUGUACGUUCUAAGCGUAGGUCACUGGUGGCCGCUCAACCGGCUCAGAAACCGGCAUCUGAACAAACUAAAUCUAAAUCACUGCUGAGUAAGUGCAUCUCAAUGUAAUAUUAGUUUCGUGAAAGUGUGAAGUCUGCAAUGUUUGAAGAAAUAAUUGUUUUCAUUGCUUUUUACAAAACUGGAAGUGUAAUUAUUUGUUUAUAAGCCUCACCAAACCACAGCACUAAACAGAGAGCACUAAACGAGUUUAUGUCACUUAACAGUUAACAAGAUGUGAAAUGAAUUUGUUUUUUAGGGAAACUGUAUCAAGUCCUGUCUCGUA